Molecule: ribosomal RNA, 490 nt
Filed under: uncultured bacterium
Lineage: Bacteria
Description: bacterial SSU rRNA
Rfam family: Bacterial small subunit ribosomal RNA
Source: RNAcentral
GACGAACGCUGGCGGCGCGCUUAACACAUGCAAGUCGUGCGGUGUCGAAGGCAAGUCUUACGACAAGCCUUCGACACAGCGGCGAACGGGUGAGUAACACGUGAGUAGCUGUCCUAAGGAGGGGGAUAACGCCUGGAAACGGGUGCUAACACCCCAUAUGCCUCGCAAGAGGUGAAAGUGUACUUGCUACAGCCUUAGGGUGUGCUCGCGGCCUAUCAGCUAGUUGGUGAGGUAAUGGCUCACCAAGGCGACGACGGGUAGCCGGCCUGAGAGGGCGACCGGCCACACUGGGACUGAGACACGGCCCAGACUCCUACGGGAGGCAGCAGUCGAGAAUAGUCUACAAUGGCCGGAAGGCUGAUAGUGCGACGCCGCGUGAACGAGGGAGCCCUUCGGGUGUAAAGUUCUUUUCUAUACGAGCAGUGCUAUAUAUAUGGAUAGUAUAUAUAGAGGGAUAGUAGUAUAGGAAUAAGCAACGGCUAACUCCGUG